This 284-nucleotide long non-coding RNA is filed under the name Mytilus galloprovincialis (Mediterranean mussel). The record is from RNAcentral. Lineage: Eukaryota; Metazoa; Mollusca; Bivalvia; Mytilida; Mytilidae.
GUUUUUAUCGUAUAUUUAGCAGUUCCUUACACUUAAACUAUGGUUUAAUCUCUUUACAUUCGAGGUCAAAAGUGAGACUUAUAUUGCCAUUUUCUAUUAAAUGAUCAUUAAAUGUAAGUCCUAAAUACACAAUCCGUGAAAAGGAGAAACCAUAAAUUAACCGACAACCAUUAAAAAAAAACUCAAUGCAAGCUCAUAAUGUAAAUUUCGAAAAACACACUUAGAAAACAAUUUACCGACAAUCCCAAAAAAACAACUCAAUACAUGCCCAAUUAAUAAUGAAC